Molecule: transfer RNA, 68 nt
Filed under: Trepobates sp. XD-2019
Lineage: Eukaryota; Metazoa; Arthropoda; Insecta; Hemiptera; Gerridae
Description: tRNA-Glu
Rfam family: tRNA
About the family: Transfer RNA (tRNA) molecules are approximately 80 nucleotides in length. Their secondary structure includes four short double-helical elements and three loops (D, anti-codon, and T loops).
Source: RNAcentral
AUUUAUAUAGUUUAAAAGACAAAACAAUUCAUUUUCAAUGAAUAAAUGAAUUCCUUAUUCUAUAAAUA